CCUACGGGAGGCAGCAGUGGGGAAUAUUGCACAAUGGGGGGAACCCUGAUGCAGCCAUGCCGCGUGAAUGAAGAAGGCCUUCGGGUUGUAAAGUUCUUUCGGUGAUGAGGAAGGCGGUUGUUUUAAUAGAACAAUCGAUUGACGUUAGUCACAGAAGAAGCACCGGCUAACUCCGUGCCAGCAGCCGCGGUAAU
RNAcentral lists this ribosomal RNA (194 nucleotides) under uncultured microorganism. Its description in RNAcentral is "partial 16S ribosomal RNA". It matches the Rfam family "Bacterial small subunit ribosomal RNA", at positions 338 to 524 of the family's 1533-position model. The record is from RNAcentral.